Molecule: ribosomal RNA, 209 nt
Filed under: uncultured bacterium
Lineage: Bacteria
Description: partial 16S ribosomal RNA
Rfam family: Bacterial small subunit ribosomal RNA
Source: RNAcentral
CGCGUAGGCGGUCCUUCAAGUCCCGCGUGAAAUCCCCCGGCUCAACUGGGGAACUGCGCGGGAAACUGUAGGGCUUGAGUUCGGGAGAGGGAAGCGGAAUUCCGGGUGUAGCGGUGAAAUGCGUAGAUAUCCGGAGGAACACCGGUGGCGAAGGCGGCUUCCUGGACCGACACUGACGCUGAGGCGCGAAAGCUAGGGGAGCAAACGGG